RNAcentral lists this ribosomal RNA (566 nucleotides) under Saurida tumbil (greater lizardfish). Its description in RNAcentral is "partial 16S ribosomal RNA". It matches the Rfam family "Bacterial large subunit ribosomal RNA", at positions 1860 to 2622 of the family's 2925-position model. The record is from RNAcentral. Lineage: Eukaryota; Metazoa; Chordata; Actinopteri; Aulopiformes; Synodontidae.
UGCCCUGUGACUCGAGAGUUUAACGGCCGCGGUAUCUUGACCGUGCGAAGGUAGCGCAAUCACUUGUCCUUUAAAUGAGGACCUGUAUGAAUGGCAUAACGAGGGCUCAACUGUCUCCCCUCCCCAGUCAGUGAAAUUGAUUUCCCCGUGCAGAAGCGGGGAUGUACCCAUAAGACGAGAAGACCCUAUGGAGCUUUAGACAUCAAGCAGCCUGCAACAAGCAACCCCCACCAACGGCUACAAAUAACGCAUUACUCUGCCGAAAUGUCUUCGGUUGGGGCGACCGUGGGAUAAAGAAAACCUCCCAUGAGGACCGGGAAGACCUUCCCAAAACUGAGGGCUACCGCCCCAAGCAACAGAAAUUCUGACCUAAGUGAUCCAGCCCAUAGCUGAUCAACGGACCGAGUUACCCUAGGGAUAACAGCGCAAUCCCCUCCUAGAGCCCCCAUCGACGAGAGGGUUUACGACCUCGAUGUUGGAUCAGGACAUCCUAAUGGUGCAGCCGCUAUUAAGGGUUCGUUUGUUCAACGAUUAAAGUCCUACGUGAUCUGAGUUCAGACCGGACC